RNAcentral lists this transfer RNA (77 nucleotides) under Bifidobacterium pullorum subsp. gallinarum. Its description in RNAcentral is "Bifidobacterium gallinarum tRNA-OTHER". It matches the Rfam family "tRNA". From Rfam's summary of the family: Transfer RNA (tRNA) molecules are approximately 80 nucleotides in length. The record is from RNAcentral. Lineage: Bacteria; Bacillati; Actinomycetota; Actinomycetes; Bifidobacteriales; Bifidobacteriaceae.
AUCAUCAUGGUCUAACUGGUAGGGCGCCCGGUCUCCAAAACCGGGAGGUGCAGGUUCGAGUCCUGCGGAUGGUGCUA